RNAcentral lists this long non-coding RNA (460 nucleotides) under Ananas comosus (pineapple). RNAcentral's name for it is "long non-coding RNA (ACOM_LNC015374)". The record is from RNAcentral. Lineage: Eukaryota; Viridiplantae; Streptophyta; Magnoliopsida; Poales; Bromeliaceae.
UUUCCUUUUCGUUUAUCGUUUAUGCCCUAGAGGCGUGUGAUCGUGGUCGGUUGUAACCUGAAGAACAUUGUAUUCCCUUUUCGUUCCAUAGUGAAGUUCUCUCCUCCCUCGCCCGUGGUUUUUCCCUGCAAAGGGUUUUCCACGUAAAUCUGUGUCUCUUUAUUUUCUGCUUGUGGUUUGAUUGUUUUUUGUGUUCGUCAUUUCAUUUCCGUUUGUGCGUUUGUCGUAACAUCAACCUAUAAUGCCAUCUUAAUCACCUCAUCCCGAGUCUAAAGAUGCUGCGGCCGUACUAACCGAUAAAUCUCUAGUCGUAGCCUCCUCUCAAAUAAACGUUCAUCCCGUAUUGCAAAAGAUACGCAAUUCAUAACUCGAACAAACUAUCUCACAUACUCCUGUAUAGACCGAUCUUCUUGCCUCAUCUUCUUUAGAUCAUCUUCAAGUUUUUCCUUCACAUUAACCA